AAGUCGUAACAAGGUCUCCGUUGGUGAACCAGCGGAGGGAUCAUUACCGAGUUUACAACUCCCAAACCCCUGUGAACAUACCUAUACGUUGCCUCGGCGGAUCAGCCCGCGCCCCGUAAAAAGGGACGGCCCGCCCGAGGACCCCUAAACUCUGCUUUUAGUGGAACUUCUGAGUAAAACAAACAAAUAAAUCAAAACUUUCAACAACGGAUCUCUUGGUUCUG
This 224-nucleotide unclassified non-coding RNA is filed under the name Fusarium proliferatum. Its description in RNAcentral is "partial internal transcribed spacer region". The stretch from base 1 to 46 matches the Rfam family "Eukaryotic small subunit ribosomal RNA", at positions 1786 to 1831 of the family's 1831-position model. The record is from RNAcentral. Lineage: Eukaryota; Fungi; Ascomycota; Sordariomycetes; Hypocreales; Nectriaceae.